This is a long non-coding RNA of Marmota monax (woodchuck), 642 nucleotides long. RefSeq lists it as uncharacterized. NCBI's taxonomy places the organism in Eukaryota, Metazoa, Chordata, Mammalia, Rodentia, Sciuridae. The transcript has 3 exons. The record is from RefSeq and is a predicted model, not a curated record.
GCCACCUAGGUGCAGGACGGGUGUGUGACGUCGCGUCCCGCCACUGUGUACAGCCAUAGAGCACCCACAAAAGUAUAUGGAAAAACCAAAGGCCCAGCAGUCCAGCGUCCUCCCUGGGCCAGCGGCGGGCUCCAGCUCCUGGAGGUCUGCGGGCGCGUCCGGCAGCCAGAUCACCAGCCUGGACGGGGGACAGCAUCAGCCUCGCCCAGCAGCCAGCCCAGAGGCCACCUACCCCUCAGACCCUGAGGGAGCUACCAGCCCACAGGAAGGGGCUACCCAGAUGGGUUCCUGAAAUGUCACCUGACCAAGGCCCCCGGGCUCCUUGCUGCUGACGUGGCUCAGCCAGCACCAGAUGCAGGGUGCGCAGAGCGCUGGACCCCACAGGACCAGCCAGCCCAGUCCUCUACCUGUCUCUGAAAAACACUGGCUGGACACCUCCGCCCACUCACCGGCUGCUGCAGGUCCUCACCUAUUACCUCACCCCCUGGGAGGGCCUGAACAGGGGCUGGAGCGGGGCAGACGGUCAGAGGAGGCGAGGUAGCAAGCCAAACGGAAGCCGGACCGUCCCCUCCCUCAUUCUGGGCCCUCUGCCCCUGUUAACGCAGACUAACUACGCGUGGAGCAUGGGGUGAUGGGAAAAAC